Molecule: ribosomal RNA, 279 nt
Filed under: uncultured bacterium
Lineage: Bacteria
Description: partial 16S ribosomal RNA
Rfam family: Bacterial small subunit ribosomal RNA
Source: RNAcentral
UGCCAGCCGCCGCGGUAAUACAGAGAGUGCGAACGUUGUUCGGAAUUACUGGGCUUAAAGAGUACGUAGGCGGCAUAACAAGUGUCAGGUGAAAUCCCACGGCUCACCCGUGGAACUGCCUGGCAAACUGUUAAGCUAGAGUGUGGUAGGGGAGAACAGAACUCAUGGUGGAGCGGUGAAAUGCGUAGAUAUCAGGAGGAACACCGAUGGCGAAGGCAGCUCUCUGGACCGAGACUGACGCUGAGGCGCGAAGGCGUGGGUAGCGAACGGGAUUAGAUA